RNAcentral lists this ribosomal RNA (253 nucleotides) under uncultured bacterium. Its description in RNAcentral is "partial 16S ribosomal RNA". It matches the Rfam family "Bacterial small subunit ribosomal RNA", at positions 524 to 776 of the family's 1533-position model. The record is from RNAcentral.
UACGAAGGGGGCUAGCGUUGUUCGGAAUUACUGGGCGUAAAGGGCGCGUAGGCGGCCUUGAUAGUUGGGCGUGAAAGGCCUGGGCUUAACCCGGGAACUGCGUUCAAUACUGCGAGGCUAGAGUGUGGGAGAGGUUGGUGGAAUUCCCAGUGUAGAGGUGAAAUUCGUAGAUAUUGGGAAGAACACCGGUGGCGAAGGCGGCCAACUGGACCACAACUGACGCUGAGGCGCGAAAGCGUGGGGAGCAAACAGG